This 503-nucleotide ribosomal RNA is filed under the name uncultured bacterium. RNAcentral describes it as "partial 16S ribosomal RNA". It matches the Rfam family "Bacterial small subunit ribosomal RNA", at positions 30 to 523 of the family's 1533-position model. The record is from RNAcentral.
AUUGAACGCUGGCGGCAGGCUUAACACAUGCAAGUCGAGCGGGGUGAUGGUGCUUGCACUAUCACUUAGCGGCGGACGGGUGAGUAAUGCUUAGGAAUCUGCCUAUUAGUGGGGGACAACAUCUCGAAAGGGAUGCUAAUACCGCAUACGUCCUACGGGAGAAAGCAGGGGAUCACUUGUGACCUUGCGCUAAUAGAUGAGCCUAAGUCGGAUUAGCUAGUUGGUGGGGUAAAGGCCUACCAAGGCGACGAUCUGUAGCGGGUCUGAGAGGAUGAUCCGCCACACUGGGACCGAGACACGGCCCAGACUCCUACGGGAGGCAGCAGUGGGGAAUAUUGGACAAUGGGCGGAAGCCUGAUCCAGCCAUGCCGCGUGUGUGAAGAAGGCCUUAUGGUUGUAAAGCACUUUAAGCGAGGAGGAGGCUACUUUAGUUAAUACCUAGAGAUAGUGGACGUUACUCGCAGAAUAAGCACCGGCUAACUCUGUGCCAGCCGCCGCAGUAA